This 76-nucleotide transfer RNA is filed under the name Acidobacteriota bacterium. Its description in RNAcentral is "tRNA-Ala". It matches the Rfam family "tRNA". From Rfam's summary of the family: Transfer RNA (tRNA) molecules are approximately 80 nucleotides in length. Their secondary structure includes four short double-helical elements and three loops (D, anti-codon, and T loops). Lineage: Bacteria; Pseudomonadati; Acidobacteriota. The record is from RNAcentral.
GGGGCUGUAGCUCAGCUGGGAGAGCGCCUGACUGGCAGUCAGGAGGUCUGGGGUUCGAUCCCCCACAGCUCCACCA